AGUGAACGCUGGCGGCGUGCUUAACACAUGCAAGUCGAACGAGAACGGGAUUAGCUUGCUAAUCUGUCAGCUAAGUGGCGCACGGGUGAGUAAUAUAUAGGUAACGUGCCUUCAAGAGGGGGAUAACAGAUGGAAACGUCUGCUAAAACCCCAUAUGCCUUUAAUGCGAAAGUAUGCAAGGGAAAUAUUUAUAGCUUGAAGAUCGGCCUGUACAGUAUCAGAUAGUUGGUGAGGUAAUAGCUCACCAAGUCAAUGACGCUUAACUGGUUUGAGAGGAUGAUCAGUCACACUGGAAUUGAGACACGGUCCAGACUCCUACGGGAGGCAGCAGUGGGGAAUAUUGCACAAUGGGGGAAACCCUGAUGCAGCAACGCCGCGUGGAGGAUGACACAUUUCGGUGCGUAAACUCCUUUUAUAUAAGAAGAUAAUGACGGUAUUAUAUGAAUAAGCACCGGCUAACUCCGUGCCAGCAGCCGCGGUAAUACGGAGGGUGCAAGCGUUACUCGGAAUCACUGGGCGUAAAGAGCGUGUAGGCGGAUAGAUAAGUCAGAAGUGAAAUCCAAUAGCUUAACUAUUGAACUGCUUUUGAAACUGUCUAUCUAGAGUAUGGGAGAGGUAGAUGGAAUUUCUGGUGUAGGGGUAAAAUCCGUGGAGAUCAGAAGGAAUACCGAUUGCGAAGGCGAUCUACUGGAACAUAACUGACGCUGAGACGCGAAAGCGUGGGGAGCAAACAGG
Molecule: ribosomal RNA, 735 nt
Filed under: uncultured Arcobacter sp.
Lineage: Bacteria; Pseudomonadati; Campylobacterota; Epsilonproteobacteria; Campylobacterales; Arcobacteraceae
Description: bacterial SSU rRNA
Rfam family: Bacterial small subunit ribosomal RNA
Source: RNAcentral